This 289-nucleotide ribosomal RNA is filed under the name uncultured bacterium. Its description in RNAcentral is "partial 16S ribosomal RNA". It matches the Rfam family "Bacterial small subunit ribosomal RNA", at positions 773 to 1060 of the family's 1533-position model. The record is from RNAcentral.
GUGGAUUAGAUACCCGGGUAGUCCUAGCCGUAAACGAUGGAUACUAGGCGUUGAGAGUAUCGACCCUCUCAGUGCCGUAGCUAACGCGUUAAGUAUCCCGCCUGGGGAGUACGCACGCAAGUGUGAAACUCAAAGGAAUUGACGGGGGCCCGCACAAGCGGUGGAGUAUGUGGUUUAAUUCGAUGCAACGCGAAGAACCUUACCAGGGCUUGACAUGUCUGGAAUCUUGGGGAAACUCAAGAGUGCCUUCGGGAGCCAGAACACAGGUGGUGCACGGCUGUCGACAGCU